GACGAACGCUGGCGGCGUGCUUAACACAUGCAAGUCGAACGGAAAGGCCCUGCUUUUGUGGGGUGCUCGAGUGGCGAACGGGUGAGUAACACGUGAGUAACCUGCCCUUGACUUUGGGAUAACUUCAGGAAACUGGGGCUAAUACCGGAUAGGAGCUCCUGCUGCAUUGUGGGGGUUGGAAAGUUUCGGCGGUUGGGGAUGGACUCGCGGCUUAUCAGCUUGUUGGUGGGGUAGUGGCUUACCAAGGCUUUGACGGGUAGCCGGCCUGAGAGGGUGACCGGCCACAUUGGGACUGAGAGACGGCCCAGACUCCUACGGGAGGCAGCAGUGGGGAAUAUUGCACAAUGGGCGGAAGCCUGAUGCAGCAACGCUGCGUGCGGGAUGACGGCCUUCGGGUUGUAAACCGCUUUCGCCUGUGACGAAGCGUGAGUGACGGUAAUGGGUAAAGAAGCACCGGCUAACUACGUG
This 468-nucleotide ribosomal RNA is filed under the name uncultured bacterium. RNAcentral describes it as "partial 16S ribosomal RNA". It matches the Rfam family "Bacterial small subunit ribosomal RNA", at positions 28 to 507 of the family's 1533-position model. The record is from RNAcentral.